Non-coding RNA from Pelobates cultripes (western spadefoot toad), 575 nucleotides. NCBI's taxonomy places the organism in Eukaryota, Metazoa, Chordata, Amphibia, Anura, Pelobatidae. The record is from the annotation of a GenBank genome assembly.
UGAGGGUUAAUCCAGCCUCUAGUGGCUGUCUCACUGACAGCCGCUAGAGGAGCACACUGAAUGUCCAUAGGAAAGCAUUGAGUAAUGCUUUCCUAUGGGCGGUUUGAAUGCGUGCGCGGUCGCAUUCGGAGCUGAGAGGCUGAGGGAUCCCCAGCGCCAAGGGAGUCCGGCGCUGAAGAAAGGUAAGUGCUGAAGACACACACACUCUCACUUACAGACGCAUACACACUAGCUAACAGACACACACAUUUACUGACAGAGACACACUCAGCGACAGACAUACAUACACUCUCAUUGACAAACACACACUCACUAACAGACAUCAAACAGACUCACUAACACCCACACACUCAGUAAGACACACAGUAACACACUCACUGACACUCACUAGCAGACACUCACUCUAACACUCACUCUAACACUCACACUUUUUUUUUUUUUAAUUUUUAAUCCCCCCCAGCCUCCUUACCUUUUGGAGUGCUGGGGGGAUUCCCUGGGGUCCAGUGGUGCUGCUGGGCUCCUGGGCGGGUGGCCGGUCGGGCAGGCUGGCGCGCAAGGGAGCACUCAGUGCUUCC